GAUGAACGCUGGCGGCGUGCCUAAUACAUGCAAGUCGAGCGAACAGACGAGGAGCUUGCUCCUCUGACGUUAGCGGCGGACGGGUGAGUAACACGUGGAUAACCUACCUAUAAGACUGGGAUAACUUCGGGAAACCGGAGCUAAUACCGGAUAAUAUAUUGAACCGCAUGGUUCAAUAGUGAAAGACGGAUUUGCUGUCACUUAUAGAUGGAUCCGCGCCGCAUUAGCUAGUUGGUAAGGUAACGGCUUACCAAGGCAACGAUGCGUAGCCGACCUGAGAGGGUGAUCGGCCACACUGGAACUGAAACACGGUCCAGACUCCUACGGGAGGCAGCAGUAGGGAAUCUUCCGCAAUGGGCGAAAGCCUGACGGAGCAACGCCGCGUGAGUGAUGAAGGUCUUCGGAUCGUAAAACUCUGUUAUUAGGGAAGAACAAAUGUGUAAGUAACUAUGCACGUCUUGACGGUACCUAAUCAGAAAGCCACGGCUAACUACGUG
RNAcentral lists this ribosomal RNA (497 nucleotides) under uncultured bacterium. RNAcentral's name for it is "partial 16S ribosomal RNA". It matches the Rfam family "Bacterial small subunit ribosomal RNA", at positions 28 to 507 of the family's 1533-position model. The record is from RNAcentral.